This 65-nucleotide transfer RNA is filed under the name Fukomys damarensis (Damara mole-rat). It matches the Rfam family "tRNA". Rfam says of the family: Transfer RNA (tRNA) molecules are approximately 80 nucleotides in length. Their secondary structure includes four short double-helical elements and three loops (D, anti-codon, and T loops). Lineage: Eukaryota; Metazoa; Chordata; Mammalia; Rodentia; Bathyergidae. The record is from Rfam by way of RNAcentral.
GGUGUAGUUCAGUGGUAGAACACAUGCUUAGCAUGCAUUUGACCCUGGAUUCCAUCUCCAGCACC